AUUGAACGCUGGCGGCAGGCCUAACACAUGCAAGUCGAACGAGUGGCGGACGGGUGAGUAAUGUCUGGGAAACUGCCCGAUGGAGGGGGAUAACUACUGGAAACGGUAGCUAAUACCGCAUACCAUCGGAUGUGCCCAGAUGGGAUUAGCUGGUGGGUGGGGUAACGGCUCACCUAGGCGACGAGCCCUAGCUGGUUUGCGAGGAUGACAAGCCACACUGGAACGGAGACACGGUCCAGACCCCUACGGGAGGCAGCAGUGGGGAAUAUUGAACAAUGGGCGCAAUCCUGAUGCAGCCAUGCCGCGUGUAUUAAGAAGGCCUUCGGGUUUUAAAGUACUUUCAGCGGGGAGGCGUUACUCGCAGAAGAAGCACCGGCUAACUCCGUGCCAGCAGCCGCGGUAAUUC
RNAcentral lists this ribosomal RNA (406 nucleotides) under uncultured bacterium. RNAcentral describes it as "partial 16S ribosomal RNA". It matches the Rfam family "Bacterial small subunit ribosomal RNA", at positions 30 to 526 of the family's 1533-position model. The record is from RNAcentral.